RNAcentral lists this transfer RNA (77 nucleotides) under Bacteroides sp. AF26-10BH. Its description in RNAcentral is "tRNA-Asp". It matches the Rfam family "tRNA". Rfam says of the family: Transfer RNA (tRNA) molecules are approximately 80 nucleotides in length. Their secondary structure includes four short double-helical elements and three loops (D, anti-codon, and T loops). The record is from RNAcentral. Lineage: Bacteria; Pseudomonadati; Bacteroidota; Bacteroidia; Bacteroidales; Bacteroidaceae.
GGUGCGUUAGUUCAGUUGGUUAGAAUACAUGCCUGUCACGUAUGGGGUCACGGGUUCGAGUCCCGUACGCACCGCGA